UACGUAGGGUGCGAGCGUUAAUCGGAAUUACUGGGCGUAAAGUGUGCGCAGGCGGCAACGCAAGUCGAGUGUGAAAGCCCCGGGCUCAACCUGGGAAUGGCAGUGGAAACUAGGGGACUGGAAUCUGGCAGAGGGGGGUGGAAUGCCGCGUGUAGCAGUGAAAUGCGUAGAGAUGCGGCGGAACACCGAUGGCGAAGGCAGCCCCCUGGGCUGAGAUUGACGCUCAGGCACGAAAGCGUGGGGAGCAAACAGG
Molecule: ribosomal RNA, 253 nt
Filed under: uncultured bacterium
Lineage: Bacteria
Description: partial 16S ribosomal RNA
Rfam family: Bacterial small subunit ribosomal RNA
Source: RNAcentral